Molecule: long non-coding RNA, 1675 nt
Filed under: Calidris pugnax (ruff)
Lineage: Eukaryota; Metazoa; Chordata; Aves; Charadriiformes; Scolopacidae
Description: lncRNA (ENSCPUG00000014385.1)
Source: RNAcentral
AAAGGUAUUUAUUUCUCAGCCUAGAUUCCAUAUUGCACGCAGGAAUUAACACUUUCAUCGUCAUAUACUUACAACAACUUCAAAUAAAUAAAGAUACAGUAAAUCUAAACAGAAAACCCAAUACAUGGCUGGAAAAGGCUCUUUUUUCUCCCCUGGGUGGUUAUUUUUAAAUGCACGUUUUUUGGGGCCGGGGCGUGGGGAAAAGGCAGCAUCGGCCGCUGGAUGUGCCCAACCCCGGGGAAAUAAUUCCCCUCCCCACCCACAGCACUCACACACACACAACCCCCCCGAAAAUAAAUUAUCCCUGGGCAGAAGCAUCCCUGGAUGCGGGGGUCCAGCAGAGAAACACCCAUGAAGUGACCGACAUUUUGAAACCCAUUCCCUGGCUGGGAAUUUUUUUUUUUUUUUUUUAAUCCGGCAAACGCAAAGAGAGAGAGCAAAGGUCCCUGAAACCCCCCCAGCCCCAAAAUAAACCCUUACAGACCGUGAUUACGAAGCACCACACCGUAUCCAAGCUGAGAUUUUUUUUUUCCUGAGUCUAAAGCAGGCUGCAUUUUUUAAAGCAGCGCCCUUUCAUAAAAGUUUUCUUUAUUUUCUUUUUUUUUUUACAAGAUAUUUGCAGUUUUCUCCUACCUAGACAAACGUUUUUAUGGAGGGAAAAAAAAAAAAUAAAUCAGGUUUUGCUUCUUUUGCACCCGUUUGGAAAUAAAGCAAUGGCACUAAAGUCAUUAUAAAGGUGCCUUUCUGUCCUUUAUCCCGUCCUGGUGAUGCGAGUUGAUUUUUUUGCUCAAAAACCAGAACUAGUUUGUGUCGCUCCCUCCUCCCGGCUCGUUGUGUCCCGCAGAGGUACCGCUUCUUCCAAACACCUACCGCUUGAGCUUGCUCAUUUAUUAUUUUUUUUAAGUCCAAAACAGGCUAUUUCAGAUAAUAGUUUGGGGUUCCUUUCUAUUCUUUUUUUUUCUUUAUUCUUUUUUUUAUUUACUUUUGAUGCAUCGCCACCCUCUCCCCAGUCUCCUACUGGGGGAUUGUUAAGAAGAUUUACUUUUGAUGCAUCGCCACCCUCUCUCCAGUCUCCUACUGGGGGAUUGUUAAGAAGAUUAUUUCCUUUUUUUUUUUUUUUUAUCGCUUAAUUUCCUCGAAACGUGUUUAAAAACAAAUGGGGAGGGAUUAUUAUUUAUUACUAUUUAUUAUUAUUAUUGUUUGCUGUGAAGGGGAUGGUUCUGCUGCUCGAGGAGCCGUUCCAGGUGUGUUCGCGUGGCAAGUUUUGAGGUAUUUUUGUGUUGAAUUCACAGCCCUGCUGCACCCCCCGUGCGUUAUAUACAAAUACCUCCCCCCGCACACGCGGGGACGUGCGUGUGCGAGCGGAUAAAUCCGUGCGGGCACAUCAAGGUCUGCGUGUGGGCACGCACAAGCCUGGAUUUCCCCCCACCCGCACGUAAGAAAUGCAUAUAUAGAGAUAUAUACACAGAGAUAAAUAGCCGGGGACCCGCACCCGCGGGGGUGCCCGCUCACCCCACGCACGCACUUUCCGAGGUGAUUAUAUCCCUUAAAAAAAUAUUCCUGAGUUAUUUGGCUGUUCCUGCCCGCGGCAGACGGAGCUGCGGAGUCUGGGGGUUACUGUAUUUUUUUUUUAAUAUAUAUAUAUUUAUAUCUCUUUUUUUUUCUUUUUUUUUUU